RNAcentral lists this long non-coding RNA (1402 nucleotides) under Equus asinus (donkey). RNAcentral describes it as "lncRNA (ENSEASG00005034046.1)". Lineage: Eukaryota; Metazoa; Chordata; Mammalia; Perissodactyla; Equidae. The record is from RNAcentral.
UCUUCUUAUAAAGACGCUAGUCAUUGGGUUAGGGCCCACUGUAAUCCAGGAUGGCCUCAUUAAUUUGAUUACACCUGCAAAGACCCUAUUUACAAAUGAGGUCAUAUUCAGAGAUACUAGGAGUCAGAAAUUUAACAUAUCUUUUUGGGGAUACAAUUCAACAAUUUUAAUGCUUGCUGUAGCUUUAAAUGGAAGGGGUUUCAAAGUUCUUAGGAGUCCUUGUUUUUGUCUUCCCAGGAAGACUAGAAGAAGCUGGAGCCUGGGACAUGCCUUUCCACCAGCUGAUAUAAGGCUCUUUUUGCCAGAAGGGCUUUGUUAUAAAGAACACUCCCAGCAUAUUUCAAAAUGGCUACUUUCCUCUUUUCCUGCCAGAGGGAUGAGGUCACCUUUAUCUGUGAUUCUCAGUGUUUGCCUGCUCUUCAGAUUUCAGAGUGUCAGUUUGGCCUGUGAUCUCCUUUUUCUGAUGGGUCCAAGACAAGUUAUUGAUUCUCAGUUUGUUCAGAAUUUUUCUUGUUGUAAGGUUGGGAUUGAAAACAUCCAAGCUCUUUCAUGUCAGGGCUGAAAUUGGAAUGCUAUUGCUUUCAAUUUUUGAAAGAUAGUUUUGCCAUUUACAAGAGUUUUGGUUGACUGAUUUUUUAAGUACUGUGACUAUGUCUUUGCAUUGCCUUCUGAAUGCCAUUGUUUCUGUUGAGUAGUCUGCCAAUAAUUUUAUUGGGUUUCUUUUUAUGUUGUGAGUAGCUUUACUCUGUCCUUUCAAAAUUUUGUCCUCUUUGGCUCUCAGCAUUUUUGUUAUAAUGUAUCUGGGUGAUAGGCUGACUUUUAACAAGAUUUCUCUGCUUCUAUCAUUGUUACAUUGAUUGGGUUUUGAUUAUUAUUUUAAUAGACAUUUCUAGAAUGAAAACAACUUAACUUUGAUUUGUAAUUUUAUGUAUUGCUGGAUUUGAUUUUCCAAUGUCAUGUUUUGCAUUUUUGCAUCAAGUUCAGGAGAUAACGUACCUUUCCUGUAUGGUCCUUGUUAGGGUUUUGUACUCAGGUAGGUUACUCUUGCCUCAUAAAAAUAUUGGGGAAUAUUUCCUCUAUUCCUAUUAAGAGUUUAUGUGACUUCAGUGUUGUUUAUUAAAUGUUGCAAAUGUUUUACCAAUGAAACUAUAACGUUGUGCAGGUUUUUUGGGAAUGGAAAUAACCUUUAACAAUAGAUUAAUUUAUUUAAUGUGAAUCAGAAGAAACCUAUAAUCUCUUCUUCAUUUAGCCUUAUUUAGUUGUGCUAUUGAGGAAUUUGCUUUUUAUUUAAAUCAAUUUUUGUAUGUUUUGGGGUAAAGCUGUUCUUAAAAUCCACCCAUUUUCUUUUUAAUGUCUCUUUGUUCUCUGGGCUAUAAUAUUUUGUCCUGUUAUGUGAUGAUAU